GGGAGUUGUAGUUGUAGUUCCCGGGAGCGAACUACCGGCGGCCGGAGGAAGCGGGGGCGGCGGGGCCGGGGCCGGGAGCGGGGCAGAGCCCCGGGAUCGGGAUGCGGCCGCGGCCCGGGACGCCGCCUCGUUGCCCGGAGCGACACCAUGCACCCGGCCGUGGCGGUGGGGCUGGUGUUCGGCGGCUGCUGCAGCAACGUGGUGUUCCUGGAGCUGCUGGCCAGGCAGUUCCCGGGCUGUGGGAACAUCGUCACCUUCUCGCAGUUCCUGUUCAUUGCCCUGGAAGGUUUCAUCUUCGAGGCCAACUUCGGCAGGAAGCGCCCGGCCAUCCCCAUCAGGAACUAUUUCAUCAUGGUGGCCAUGUUCUUCACCGUCAGCGUGGUCAAUAACUACGCCCUGAACCUGAACAUCGCCAUGC
RNAcentral lists this long non-coding RNA (418 nucleotides) under Junco hyemalis (dark-eyed junco). RNAcentral's name for it is "lncRNA (ENSJHYG00000017416.1)". The record is from RNAcentral. Lineage: Eukaryota; Metazoa; Chordata; Aves; Passeriformes; Passerellidae.